UACGAAGGGUGCAAGCGUUACUCGGAAUUACUGGGCGUAAAGCGUGCGUAGGUGGUUUGUUAAGUCUGUUGUGAAAGCCCCGGGCUCAACCUGGGAAUGGCAAUGGAUACUGGCAGGCUAGAGUGUGUCAGAGGAUGGUGGAAUUCCCGGUGUAGCGGUGAAAUGCGCAGAGAUCGGGAGGAACAUCAGUGGCGAAGGCGGCCAUCUGGGACAACACUGACGCUGAAGCACGAAAGCGUGGGGAGCAAACAGG
RNAcentral lists this ribosomal RNA (253 nucleotides) under uncultured bacterium. RNAcentral's name for it is "partial 16S ribosomal RNA". It matches the Rfam family "Bacterial small subunit ribosomal RNA", at positions 524 to 776 of the family's 1533-position model. The record is from RNAcentral.